Molecule: long non-coding RNA, 959 nt
Organism: Pogoniulus pusillus (Red-fronted tinkerbird)
Lineage: Eukaryota; Metazoa; Chordata; Aves; Piciformes; Lybiidae
Exons: 2
Source: RefSeq, a predicted model, not a curated record
GUGAGCUUCUCUGCCAUGUGUGGCUUGUUAACCAGGAAUCAAGGCAGCUGUUUGUAUGCUGCUCUCACUAGCAGCUCAGCAGCAUCUCCUUCCUCUGCCUGGACUAUUUUGUAUGUUACCCUGGGAUCAUUACUGCAAGUCUGAAAGCAUCUUUGAUACAGGAGACUUACUCAGGGACCAAAAGAUUCGGCCCCUUUAAGUAUUGAAAGGCCACAAUAAGAUCCUCAGGGCUUUCUCUUCUCCAGGAUGGACAUGUCCAGCUCUAUUAGCUUUUCUGCAUAGGGAAGAAUCUGUAUGAUCAUUUUUGUGGCCCUCCUCUGGACCUGCUUGAACAGAUCCAUGUAUUUCCUUUGCAGGGGGCCCCAGAACUGGAUGCUGUAGUUCAGGUGGAGUCUCACCAUGAUGGAGUAGAUGGACAGAAUGACUUUCCUUGACUUGCUGGCCAUGCUUAAUUUGAUGCAGCCCAAGAUAUGAUUGACUUUCUGGACUGCAAGCACACAUUACUGGGUCAAGUUCAGCUUUUCAUCUACUAGUACCUCCAAAUCCUUCUCCUCAGGACUACUCUCAGUGCCUUCAUCCCUUAGCCUAUACUGAUACCAGAGGUUGCAAAGUGAGGACCUUGUAUUUAGCCUUGUUGAACCUCAUGAGGUUCACACGGGUCCACUUUUCAAGCUUGUCCAGGUCCCUCUGGAUGGCAUCCCAUUCCUCAGGUGUGUCAACAGCACCACUCAGCUUGUUAUUGUCUAGAACUUGCUGAUGCUACACUUAGUUCUGCUAUGUCAUUGAUUAAGAUAUUAACCAGUACUGGUCCCAGUAUGAAGCCCUGAGCGACUCCACUUGUUAUCAGUCUCCAUUUGGAGAUCGAGCAGUCAGCCACUAUGCUCUGGAUGUGACCAUUCAAUCGAUUCUGUAUUCACCAAACAGUCCAUCCAUCAAACCCAUUUUUCAGUUUAGAGAAA